This 1633-nucleotide small RNA is filed under the name Histoplasma capsulatum var. duboisii H88. RNAcentral describes it as "Histoplasma capsulatum H88 hypothetical RNA". The record is from RNAcentral. Lineage: Eukaryota; Fungi; Ascomycota; Eurotiomycetes; Onygenales; Ajellomycetaceae.
UGGGACGGUGGUGUACUAUGUGGUGCUUGAGGGGAGUAUAAAACCGAGGCAGAAUUGAAAGGGGGCAAUGAUUUCCCCUCUGGAAAUUUAUUUUAUGGGGUACUGGCGCCAGUCAUCUCUGGUCUGUUUUGGGGAUAUAUUAAGGAAAGAGUAUGGGUGAUCUUGGUGGCCAAAUAUCAGUCAUAUACAGGAUACUGAAAAGCCUCACCCAAUUUGGGAACCAAAUCCGGCGACCAGAGUGGGCAUUGCAGCUUGACAAAAAAGGGACUCGGUUGUCGAGAAGAACGAUUCAAUUCUGAAAGUUAUAACAAACGAGAAAUCAUACAUCUAUCCUUCGCGAUCCAAAAGCGAAAGUUAAAACGAGAACAGAAAACUGACAAACAAACAGACAAUAAUCCGCCCUUGGUCCACCCUGACAUGCGCCAAUACCAGAUCAAACUGGGUAUCAUAUCAAAGCCAGCCAAUUUUCCCAUUUGGACGAAAGCAAGAAAAAAGCUACAGGAAAAUCACCCGCCGCAAAAAAUGAAAGAAGAAAACCAACGACAGCAGAAACUCAAGGAUACAUAUACAUAUACAUAUAUAUAGAGAGCGAGAGAGAGACCCUCUUAGUAAUCAACCACGAAUCUUCUCCAGCUCCUGCUGGCAACUCAGACAAUAAUCCUCAUACCAAUACUGAAUAUCUUCAAUAUCCGUCGCUGCGAACCGCUGCUUCAAAUCCGAAACCGUCUCAUCGCUGCCGUCGCGGUCAUUUAAUCGCUCCCGAUCUUUCAGUAGAGUCUCGAUCGCGUGGCACUUCUGCGUUUCCUGUUGGAGCCAGCGUUCCCAUUCCGCCUGGACUACUUCUUUUUCUAUCCGGUUGACCACCCUUAAGGCAACAAGGAGGUUGUGUCGGUAGAUCCCUAGCCGCUCUCUCGUCCGUUGCAGCUGCAGCCUUGCGCGUUUUGCUCUGGAAUCCUUGGUGUUGGUUUCAGAGGGUGUGAUUAUUCGUGGCAUAUCUGAAAAUCCUAAAGCGUUGCUCUCGCGGAAAGUUGAGAAGCUAGACCAAUCCAAGGUUAUUGAAAGUCAGCUUGCUGCACAUCUGUAAACUGAUAAAUGACAAAAUAUAACGAACUGACCAAGAACCUGGAUUGCUUAUGUCAAUACCUGUAGUAUUAGCAAUCGCAUCAUCCAUGUCUUUGAUAUAUACCGCCUUGCUCAUAACACGAUUAGGUCCAACACCAAGCCGGGUCAUGAAGUUGCCGGCAUUACGCUCAUGCCACCAUUCAACGGUAUCAUGGUACGAAUGGAAAGCAUUAAUAAGCACGCUGAACGCGAGCAACAGGAGUAUGAUGCUGUGAGCUCUGCAGGUUUUCCACAGCCAUCGAAGCAGCCCCCAAAACCAAAUCAUCAAUGACGAUACUGCACUCUGUAACAAAGACCCGGAAGUUUCAAGCAGAAGUGGGAUGAUACCACUUUGCUUGAGGGGACGGCGAAGAUAGGGUUUUAAGUUUUGCGAAUCCUCAGUAAAUUCAGUCCCUCGAGUUUGGCGGCCAAUGUGGCCGAAUAGUGCUAUAGCCAUUUUCGUUUGGUUAUGGGAGCCAAGCCGUUUAACCUCUUCGGAAACAAGAUCCACAAGGUCAAGCGCAUCCUGUUC